RNAcentral lists this ribosomal RNA (305 nucleotides) under uncultured bacterium. Its description in RNAcentral is "partial 16S ribosomal RNA". It matches the Rfam family "Bacterial small subunit ribosomal RNA", at positions 505 to 807 of the family's 1533-position model. The record is from RNAcentral.
ACAGCAGCAGCCGCGGUAAUACGAAGGGGGCUAGCGUUGUUCGGAAUUACUGGGCGUAAAGCGCACGUAGGCGGAUAUUUAAGUCAGGGGUGAAAUCCCAGAGCUCAACUCUGGAACUGCCUUUGAUACUGGGUAUCUUGAGUAUGGAAGAGGUGAGUGGAAUUCCGAGUGUAGAGGUGAAAUUCGUAGAUAUUCGGAGGAACACCAGUGGCGAAGGCGGCUCACUGGUCCAUUACUGACGCUGAGGUGCGAAAGCGUGGGGAGCAAACAGGAUUAGAUACCCCAGUAGUCCCUGUCUCUUAUAC